AGUGAACGCUGGCGGUAGGCUUAACACAUGCAAGUCGAACGGAAGCACAGUAAGAGUUUGCUCUUACGGGUGGCGAGUGGCGGAAGGGUGAGGUAUACAUCGGACUCUUGUCUUUCGUGGGGGAUCACGUAGGGAAAGCUACGAUAAUAUAGCAUACGAUCUACGGGUGAAAGCAGGGGAACUUCGGACCUUGCGGGUUUGAAUGAGCCGAUGCUGGAGUAGUUAGUUGGGGGGGUACUGGCCCACCCAGGCGAGGAUACGCAGCCGGUCUGAGAGGAUGGUCGGCCACACUGGAACUGGAACACGGUCCAUACUCCUACGGUAGGCAGCAGUAGGGAAUAUUGGACAGUGGGCGCAAGCCUGAUCCAACCAUACCGCGUGUGUGAAGAAGGCCUUCGGGUUGUAAAGCCCUUUUGUUGGGAAAGAAAAGCAGCAGGUUAAUACCCCGCUGUUCUGACGGUACCCAAAGAAUAAGCACCGGCUAACUUCGUG
RNAcentral lists this ribosomal RNA (492 nucleotides) under uncultured bacterium. RNAcentral's name for it is "partial 16S ribosomal RNA". It matches the Rfam family "Bacterial small subunit ribosomal RNA", at positions 29 to 507 of the family's 1533-position model. The record is from RNAcentral.